This 907-nucleotide long non-coding RNA is filed under the name Felis catus (domestic cat). Its description in RNAcentral is "lncRNA (ENSFCAG00000048181.1)". The record is from RNAcentral. Lineage: Eukaryota; Metazoa; Chordata; Mammalia; Carnivora; Felidae.
CGUCCUCUACACGUGUACGAUCCAUGGUCGCAGAGAUCACGGGAUGAAUGGCUGCAAGUGAAACACAAGAGGCGAAUCUGCUAUGUCUUCUUGGCUGCCGUGGAAAAGAGUUGAAAGAGUCACUUGGCUGGAGAAUGUCCCUUUUCGGAGAGAAAUGGCAGUAAUUAUACAGAAAAGGCGGACCCACAGACCAAACAGCCUGAAGCUAUCGAACCCCGCACCCUCGAGAACCUUCGGAGGCAUGGAAUUUCUCGCAGACUGUCCAUGUGAGUCUUCCAGGGACACAGCAGAAGCCUCUGCCUGCACAUGUCUCUGCUCUGGAUCUUCCGGUUCCCUUCUCUUCUCUGAUGCUUCCGGUUCCCGACUUGUCCAGAGGCCACUCCUUCAGGAGACCCAAGCUUCUCGCUGUCGGAUUUCUGCUUUACAGCUUGCCCUCGGGGACAACGGCAAAGAGCUCAAGCUUGGUCCAUCGACUUCAAGUAUGAGAACAGAAGGAUCAUAACGAUCAUACACUAAUUGAACACAGAAAAGUGUGGCUGGUACUUUAGAGAAACUGCCCAAGAAAGUAAAAUCGACCACUGAUCAUCCGUGAUUGUUCACACCUUAGAGAAGAUGAUGCUGUCGGUCCUUCUAUGACGAUGUGACUGAUGACCAACGAAAGAGUAUGGUGCGACAGUGUUGGCUGGAGGUAACCAGUAGUGGGGACAGAUGGCCACUUUAAUCUGUACUCUCUUAUUUUAUUAGUUAUAGUCUACCUAACUCCCAAAUUAUUUGAGGUGGGGGAACUUCCGCUUCUGACCAUUGACACAGUAUGUGACUAGCCCUCUUGCUAGAAGUAUCUAUAAAACUGGACACCUAUUUUCAAGGCUUUGGACAACGGAAAUACACGGCUAAUCGGACACAAGGG